RNAcentral lists this long non-coding RNA (2628 nucleotides) under Brassica rapa (field mustard). RNAcentral's name for it is "long non-coding RNA (BRAP_LNC004699)". Lineage: Eukaryota; Viridiplantae; Streptophyta; Magnoliopsida; Brassicales; Brassicaceae. The record is from RNAcentral.
GCUUACAAUAUAUAUCUAAGAAUAAUACAUGUUUAUAAUCACUAACUAAAUUUUUUUAAAUAGAGAAUACAUAAUUUUAGUUGGAUGGUAAUGCCGUUAAUCACAAAUAGCCGUGUUUGAGGGGUCCAGUACUUCACGCCUAAAUAACUUUUCUCGUUGAUAAUAAUUACAUUUAAAAACUUUUCCUACCCACAAUCCAUAUUAUUAAUUUAUUAGUUUCAUAUUUGGUGGUUACUAUUGAGUAUUGACUUAUCGCUAGAAGGCUGCAUCGUCAUCCUCGCAACUAGUCCGGCUACGCGCAAUUUAGUGCAAAAGGUAUUCCAUGCUAACGUGUGCGUGAUUUAACAGAUCCCAAUGUAGAAUAUUCACGUGAGGUUUUUGCAUGGAUGUAAUCACCAAGGAUCACUAUGUUGUAAGAGCGAAUCUCAGCCUUUGAUAUCUGCAUGGAGAUCUUACAUUCUCAUUUUUGGCCAAAAAUAUUCCUUUUUAUAAAGAAAAGGCCUAUCCAAAAAUACAUUUUUGAAUGCUUAUUCUACGGGCAACAAGAUUUUGAUCCACAUUUUAAAAACAAAAAAAAUUGUUCUUUAAUAAAGCUCAAUUCAAAAAUAAUGUAAAGACACUAAAUUUUAUUUUAUGUUUCAAAAUUUUGUUAUCAAAUUAAAUGAAUAGCUGUGAAAAAUAUAUUAUUAAUAAUAUAUAGAUGGUUCGUUAUAUAUAAACUAAAAUAAGAAAUUAAUAUUUGCGAGAUUAUUUUUAGAUAUGUGCUUGGUAUUAAAGAUGAUCAUUUUGCUAUGUAUUGUAAACAAAAUAAAAUUUGAUUUUAGUUUUAUAUAUAUAUAUAUAUAUAUAUAUUUUCUGUUUAGACGUUUUUGAUUCACGCUUUCAAAAAAAGAGAUUAGUUUUUGAGAUUUUGUUAUUUUACUCGACUAAAACUUUGAAACUUUCGGAUAAUUUUUACUGUAAUAUGGUUAUGUUUGUUUAACUAGUUUGUUUAACCCAUUUCAUCUUGAUUUAUUUGUAAUGAUUUAAUCUGAAACUAAACCAAGUGUAACCUGCAGAAAAAAAAUAGCAAAACAACUUUUGUCACGAAGAACCAAGCAUAAACAAUGAUUACACUGGCAUGGAGCAUUUUGACCAUGAAUUGUCACCAGAAAAAAUCAUGUUAGUCCAACAUCAGAACAUCUACUACGAAUCUGCGGUGCAGUCGAAACUAGCUAAGAAUAAUUUUUUCUUGUAUGAAAACUACAACCAUUCACUAACCUAGCAGCACUAGAAGAAUAGGAAACAAGACACACAUAGGCAAGACUGCCUCACAAGUGAGAUGACGAGAAACGGGCAGACAGUAGGAGGAGAAGACUUAGACCCUUGAAGCACUGGAUACAUAUACGCGAUGAACACAUGUAGACAUUUGACCUGUACGCGCUUAGACAGUAAAACAAUAAGCUGACACACGACGACUUCAUGACACUAAGUACGCCUGGAUCUAGAAGAUAAACUUCCAAACAGUCACCCUUAAGACUGAAACAAGCAAAAAAACUACCCUCAAAACACCGGAAAAGGAACUCACUGACAUAGAUAAACCUCCAAACCCACCACAAAUCUAAAAGAUAAUUGGACAUAUGAAGCUUAUAACGCACGCUACUAGCCGAACAACACUUCAACACCUUUGUCAACAAAACCAGAUCAAAAAAUAAAAAUGUAUGUAGUAUCAACAUCAAACCUUAAAAUCGGACUCCGCUUAGAGCACACACCCUUGAACUCUCUCACCGAAACAACAUAGAGUCGGAAUGGGAUGUCUGCCACCAAAUCCACCGACGAGGCAAUGGACAUAGAUAGUGACAACCGCCAGAGCUCUGAGCAUAUAGUAUAUCAAAAAGAAAAAAAUACACCACCAUGUGUGCAUCUAGAUGUGUCUUAAAUCUCUGUGCACCAAUAAAAAUCUGACAUUUGUUUGGUUGGAUGUAGGCGCUAGGAAGAUAAAUUCGCUAUCAAGGUUGACAUCUAGGGGGUGCAGGGGCUGCAGGCCCCCGCAGUACAGUAUGUCUUUUCGGUUUAGGAAAUUUGUUUUUUCUAAAUAGGUAUAUAUUUUUAUAUAGAAAAGAAAAUCAGGUUUUGAAUCUGCUUUAAAUACUAGUCUAUGGAUUUGUAAAAUUAUUGUUUCACAUAAUAAUAAAAAAUCCGAAAUGAGUAUUUGCCUAAAUACGUUUUUGUUCUCUAUUAUUUUCUUCAAAGUUGAUUCGCGUUUGUUCACAACACCAUGAAAUAAUGGAGGAAAUAUUGAAAUAAGUGAGGAGACCUCAUGUACCUACAAAUAAUCGAAAAAGUUAUGAUUUUUUUUUGCUAAACAGUAAAUAACAUUUUAUUAUUUGUUUUUGAGAAAGAGAAAAAGAGACUCAUCGGAUUAAGACUCUCAAAAAAAUUAUAGUUUUUUCAAAAUGCAUAAUCAUUGAAUUGCAGGUAACUAAAUUUUUUUACAUUAUUUGGCCAUUUUCUCUAUUUGGUGUGGUUGAUUGAUGAGGAACUGAGGAUCAUACCCCGAACAACGAUGUCCCCCACCAAGCGAAGCGAGGCACAAGAUCCUACACUGCAAAGUUUUUUAUUUAGCUACAAUGCAGAGUUUUUCUUUUG